Molecule: transfer RNA, 71 nt
Rfam family: tRNA
About the family: Transfer RNA (tRNA) molecules are approximately 80 nucleotides in length. Their secondary structure includes four short double-helical elements and three loops (D, anti-codon, and T loops). Further hydrogen bonds mediate the characteristic L-shaped molecular structure. tRNAs have two regions of fundamental functional importance: the anti-codon, which is responsible for specific mRNA codon recognition, and the 3' end, to which the tRNAs corresponding amino acid is attached (by aminoacyl-tRNA synthetases). tRNAs cope with the degeneracy of the genetic code in two manners: having more than one tRNA (with a specific anti-codon) for a particular amino acid; and 'wobble' base-pairing, i.e. permitting non-standard base-pairing at the 3rd anti-codon position.
Source: Rfam
UUUGGUAUAGUCUAGUGCAGGGAUACCUGGCUCUCACCCAGGAGGCUCGGGUUCGAUUCCCGGUACCGAAA